UGGGGAAUUUUGGACAAUGGGCGAAAGCCUGAUCCAGCAAUGCCGCGUGUGUGAAGAAGGCCUUCGGGUUGUAAAGCACUUUUGUCCGGAAAGAAAUCCUUGGCUCUAAUACAGUCGGGGGAUGACGGUACCGGAAGAAUAAGCACCGGCUAACUACGUGCCAGCAGCCGCGGUAAUACGUAGGGUGCAAGCGUUAAUCGGAAUUACUGGGCGUAAAGCGUGCGCAGGCGGUUUGCUAAGACCGAUNUGAAAUCCCCGGGCUCAACCUGGGAACUGCAUUGGUGANUGGCAGGCUAGAGUAUGGCAGAGGGGGGUAGAAUUCCACGUGUAGCAGUGAAAUGCGUAGAGAUGUGGAGGAAUACCGAUGGCGAAGGCAGCCCCCUGGGCCAAUACUGACGCUCAUGCACGAAAAGCGUGGGGAGCAAAACAGGUUAGAUACCCCUGGUAGUCCACGCCCCUAAAACGAUGUCAACUAGUUGUUGGGGGAUUCAUUUCCUUAGUAACUAGCUAACGCGUGAAGUUGACCGCCUGGGGGAGUA
RNAcentral lists this ribosomal RNA (539 nucleotides) under uncultured bacterium. Its description in RNAcentral is "partial 16S ribosomal RNA". It matches the Rfam family "Bacterial small subunit ribosomal RNA", at positions 355 to 882 of the family's 1533-position model. The record is from RNAcentral.